Long non-coding RNA from Sinocyclocheilus anshuiensis, 614 nucleotides. RefSeq lists it as uncharacterized. Lineage: Eukaryota; Metazoa; Chordata; Actinopteri; Cypriniformes; Cyprinidae. The record is from RefSeq and is a predicted model, not a curated record. The transcript has 5 exons.
AUAAGGGUUGUCUCUCCAUGGAACAUAAAUUAUUUAUUUUAUUUUGUUUUUCAUUUUUGCAUUUAUGGGGGAAAACCAUUGUUACGGAGGUGACGUCUCUCCGUUACGGACGUGACAGAUCUGAAAUUGACACUUGUCUGACUCUGGCAAAUCAGAUAAAAUGCUUUAAAAACUUUAACCGAGAUCUAAUUGUGGGUCUCUGUUGGGUAUUUAAACCAACAAACAUUUCCCUGCGAGACAUCUGUAUGUUUAAUGGCUGGCAUUUGGAUGUUAAGAAGACUAAGACGCAGCAAAACGAUCUGUGUGAAAAAGAUGUCCAAAAAAGGCCAACAUUUGUAACUGAGUAGCGUUGAGGAUUUUGUAGCAACAAGAGCUCUGUAAAACAGAUGUCCAAAAAAGACUGCCUCUACAAAGUGAUACCUCCCUCUGUUGUCUACUUUUGGGUUGAAAGUCUCAAUCACUUGGUCAGGUGUCACCCAAGCUUUAUCUUCCAUCACAGCUGUUGACUGAUGCUCAGAGGACGGGUGUUCGGGACUUUCAGCAGAUGUGAUUUCCGAGAGCAGAAAUGAAUGGAGACCGGACUGUUCUGCCUCGGAGUAGAUUUUGUGACGCAC